UGGGGAAUUUUGGACAAUGGGGGAAACCCUGAUCCAGCCAUCCCGCGUGUGCGAUGAAGGCCUUCGGGUUGUAAAGCACUUUUGGCAGGAAAGAAACGUCGCGGGUUAAUACCCCGCGAAACUGACGGUACCUGCAGAAUAAGCACCGGCUAACUACGUGCCAGCAGCCGCGGUAAUACGUAGGGUGCAAGCGUUAAUCGGAAUUACUGGGCGUAAAGCGUGCGCAGGCGGUUCGGAAAGAAAGAUGUGAAAUCCCAGAGCUUAACUUUGGAACUGCAUUUUUAACUACCGGGCUAGAGUGUGUCAGAGGGAGGUGGAAUUCCGCGUGUAGCAGUGAAAUGCGUAGAUAUGCGGAGGAACACCGAUGGCGAAGGCAGCCUCCUGGGAUAACACUGACGCUCAUGCACGAAAGCGUGGGGAGCAAACAGGAUUAGAUACCCUGGUAGUCCACGCCCUAAACGAUGUCAACUAGCUGUUGGGGGCCUUCGGGCCUUGGUAGCGCAGCUAACGCGUGAAGUUGACCGCCUGGGGAGUACGGUCGCAAGAUUAAAAACUUAAAUGAAUUGAACGGGGGUGCAUAGC
RNAcentral lists this ribosomal RNA (582 nucleotides) under uncultured bacterium. RNAcentral describes it as "partial 16S ribosomal RNA". It matches the Rfam family "Bacterial small subunit ribosomal RNA", at positions 355 to 930 of the family's 1533-position model. The record is from RNAcentral.